This 497-nucleotide ribosomal RNA is filed under the name uncultured bacterium. RNAcentral's name for it is "partial 16S ribosomal RNA". It matches the Rfam family "Bacterial small subunit ribosomal RNA", at positions 28 to 507 of the family's 1533-position model. The record is from RNAcentral.
GAUGAACGCUGGCGGCGUGCCUAAUACAUGCAAGUCGAGCGAACGGACGAGAAGCUUGCUUCUCUGAUGUUAGCGGCGGACGGGUGAGUAACACGUGGAUAACCUACCUAUAAGACUGGGAUAACUUCGGGAAACCGGAGCUAAUACCGGAUAAUAUUUUGAACCGCAUGGUUCAAAAGUGAAAGACGGUCUUGCUGUCACUUAUAGAUGGAUCCGCGCUGCAUUAGCUAGUUGGUAAGGUAACGGCUUACCAAGGCAGCGAUGCAUAGCCGACCUGAGAGGGUGAUCGGCCACACUGGAACUGAGACACGGUCCAGACUCCUACGGGAGGCAGCAGUAGGGAAUCUUCCGCAAGGGGCGAAAGCCUGACGGAGCAACGCCGCGUGAGUGAUGAAGGUCUUCGGAUCGUAAAACUCUGUUAUUAGGGAAGAACGUAUGUGUAAGUAACUGUGCACAUCUUGACGGUACCUAAUCAGAAAGCCACGGCUAACUACGUG